UCCAGUUCGAAUCUGGGUGUYGCC
RNAcentral lists this transfer RNA (24 nucleotides) under Araucaria heterophylla. Its description in RNAcentral is "partial tRNA-Cys". RNAcentral also lists the same sequence under 1 other name. The record is from RNAcentral. Lineage: Eukaryota; Viridiplantae; Streptophyta; Pinopsida; Araucariales; Araucariaceae.